RNAcentral lists this ribosomal RNA (253 nucleotides) under uncultured bacterium. RNAcentral describes it as "partial 16S ribosomal RNA". It matches the Rfam family "Bacterial small subunit ribosomal RNA", at positions 524 to 776 of the family's 1533-position model. The record is from RNAcentral.
UACGUAGGGGGCAAGCAUUGUCCGGAAUCAUUGGGCGUAAAGAGCGUGUAGGCGGCCAGAUAAGUCCGCUGUGAAAUCUCGAGGCUCAACUUCGAGCUGUCGGUGGAAACUGUCUGGCUAGAGUCCGGAAGAGGAGAAUGGAAUUCCUGGUGUAGCGGUGAAAUGCGCAGAUAUCAGGAAGAACACCCGUGGCGAAGGCGGUUCUCUGGGACGGUACUGACGCUGAGACGCGAAAGCGUGGGGAGCGAACAGG